AGGUCCAGCGGCUGGAAGAGCACCGCGACGCCGCUAUGGUGUCCGGUGCAUUCCCCGGCGCCCUUGAAAACCGGAGGACCGAAAAGCCGCCACGCCCGGUCGUUUCAUAACCGCAUCAGGUCUCCAAGGUGAACAGCCUCGGUCGAUGGAACAAUGUAGGCAAGGGAAGUCGGCAAAAUGGAUCCAGAAUCUUCGAAAAGGAUUGGCUCGAGGGGUUGGGCUUCGGGGUCCCGCCCAACCCGCCGACUGUUGGCGGGUGCUUGAGCUGUUAACGGGCGAGAGCGAUCGCCAUGUCGGCCGGGGACGGACUGGGAACGGGUUUCUUUCGAGCUUUCCCGGCGCCGAACAGCCAACUCAAACUGGUACGGACAAGGGGAAUCCGAUCGUUUAAUUAAAACAAAGCAUUGCGAUGGUCCCUCGCGAUGCUAACGCAUGUGAUUUCUGCCCGUGCUCUGAAUGUCAAAGUGAAGAAAUUCAACCAAGCGCUGGUAAACGCGAGGAACUAUGACUCUUUUAGGUAGAAGCCAAAUGCCUCGGCCAUCUAAUUAGUGACGCCGAUGAAUGGAUUAACGAGAUUCCCACUGUCCCCCGCUUCUACUAUCCAGCAAAACCACAGCCAAGGGAACGGGCUUGGCAGAAUCAGCGGGAAAGAAGACCCUGUUGAGCUUGACUCUAGUCCCACUUUGUGAAAUGACUUGAGAGGUGUAGAAUAAGUGGGAGCUCCGCAAGUGAAAUACCACUACUUUUAACGUUAUUUUACUUACCUCCGCGAAUCGAGGCGGGUAACAACCCCUUCUUUUUAGACCCAAGACUCGCCAUGGUCGAUCCGGCGAGGACAUUGUCAGGUGGGAGUUUGGCUGGGGCGCACAUCUGUUAAAAGAUAACGAGGUGUCCUAAGAUGAGCUCAACGAGAACAGAAAUCUCGUGGGAACAAAAAAGGGUAAAGCUCGCUUGAUUCUGAUUUUCAGUACGAAAUAACCGCGGAAAGCGCGGGCCUAUCGAUCCUUUUUAGACCUUCGAAUUUGAAGCCAGAGGUGUCAGAAAAGUUACCACAGGGAUAACUGGCUUUGUGGCAGCCAAGCGCUCAUAGCGACGCUGUUUUUUUGAUCCUUCGAUGUCGGCUCUUCCUAUCAUUGUGAAGCAGAAUUCACCAAGCGUUGGAUUGUUCACCCACCAAUAGGGAACGGAGCUGGGUUUAGACCGCCGUGAGACAGGUUAGUUUUACCCUACUGAUGCCCGCCGCAAAUAGUAAUUCAACCUAGUACGAGAGAAACCGCUGAUUCGCACAAUUGGUCAUCGCGCUGAAAAGCCAGUGCCGGGCUACCGCGGCGCUGGAUUAUGACUGAACGCCUCUAAGUCAGAAUCCGGCUAGAAGCGACGAUGCGCCUGCCACCCGAUUGUCCGACUCCUCAGGGGAGCUUCGCCCCAAAGGCAUCGGUCGCUGGGCUAAGUCCGUUUCGGGGAAGCGCCGCUCGACCGCUUUGAAUUAUAAUUACCACCGAGUGGCGGGUAGAAUCCUUUGCGAUCGAAUUUAAAUACGCCGACGGGUAUUGUGGCGGGCAGAGUGGCCUUGCUGCCACGAUCCACUGAGAUUCAGCCCUUUGUCGCUAAGAUUCGACCCUCCCCUUCCA
This 1631-nucleotide ribosomal RNA is filed under the name Brassica rapa (field mustard). Its description in RNAcentral is "eukaryotic LSU rRNA". It matches the Rfam family "Eukaryotic large subunit ribosomal RNA", at positions 1744 to 3401 of the family's 3401-position model. Lineage: Eukaryota; Viridiplantae; Streptophyta; Magnoliopsida; Brassicales; Brassicaceae. The record is from RNAcentral.